This is an RNA transcript of Papaver somniferum (opium poppy), 2248 nucleotides long. It is a transcript of the gene named shaggy-related protein kinase kappa-like, with no coding region annotated. The record is from RefSeq and is a predicted model, not a curated record. Lineage: Eukaryota; Viridiplantae; Streptophyta; Magnoliopsida; Ranunculales; Papaveraceae. The transcript has 5 exons.
UUUUUUCUUCUUUCUUCCUUCUACUCUUAUUUCCCUUUUCCUCGUCUCAAAACCAACAAAGAGAAACCAAAGCCAGAUCCAUUCCUAAAUCGACCAAAGAUCUCCUUGCACCAAUAGCUUUAGGCCUGCUAGACCUCAAUAUAUUCCUCUUCUUUUAAUUCCAAACCCUAAAUCGAGCAGUAAUCGUCUUAAGUACGUUAGCAGAAAUGAAUACCCGUUUUUACUUAGUUAACCUAAUAUCAGAAGAUGAUUGAGAUACAAAUACUUAAAAGGUUCAGAAUAUUGGUUACAUAGUAGAGCAUGUGGGGGGAAUGGGUUCAUUUGGAGUUGUCUUCCAGAGAAACUGGAGAAAUAGUUGCAAUCAAGAAGGUUCGUCAAGACAAGCGUUAUAAGAAUCGGGAGCUGCAAAUUAUGCAAAUGUUGGAUCACCCAAACAUCGUAGCUCUAAAGCAUAAUUUCUUUUCGAUCACAGGCAAGGAAGAGCCAUACCUAAAUAUAGUACUUGAGUUCGUACCAAACACUGUUUAUGGUGUUGCAAAGCACUACAGUCGGGUGAACCAGCGCAUGCCACUAAUAUACGUGAACCUCCAUACUUAUCAGGUCUGUGAAGUUCUUGAUAUCUUCUCUAUGUAUUUUCUUACGUGGAGUCGUUCUUGGGUUUGAUAAUAUAUACAAGGAUUUUAUUGAUAAGAGGAUGUUUCUUAGUAACAAAUAUUUACUCUCUGCUUAUGGAAAUUUUUAGAAAUUAUGCUAUUCAAACGCCAUAUCGUAAAUAAAGUGAACAUUAUACUGUAUGUAUAUCACAUGUUCGUAGUGGGAUAGUGCUUCAGCAAAGACACUUAAAUGAACUUACUUACCGGUUUAAAAUGUUUGGUGCAGAUCUGCAGAUCACUUUCUUACAUUCUUAACUGUUUUGGUAUAUGUCACCAUGUUAUUAAGUCGUAGAAUCUGUUGGUAACAGUCGCCUUGUUUACUCUAAUUAACAAGUCCUCGUUUACAUACUUCAUUUACAAGUUCUUCGUACACUUUAAUAAUCUUAUACCGUUACGAUCCUUUCUUAUUUGCCUUUGCAUCACAUCCCCAUGUAUAAAACCUCUAGAGAAUCAAAAUGUCAAAAGGAAGAAGUACCACGUAUUCAAGGUUGGGUGUUCAACAAAAAGUUGUUAAACUACUUACACCUUUCUCAGUAUCGUGGUGAAUAGACAACCCCAUCAGCUCCAUGGAUAUCUACCAUACCGCCACUCGAGAGCAGUCUUAUUCUGAAAGCUCUAACAUAGAAAGGGUAACAGUAACAUGUAUAUGGAGCGAGGGGUUUUUCUAUUGGAACAGUAAAAUGACACACCAAACCAACAAGCUGCAAUCUAAGAAAUUGGUAGAAGAGAAGGUUGACACAGUGGAUGAAGGACAACCGAAGACGGUUUCGUCUGAGGUAUAUUUGACUGCAAUAGUGUAAUUUUUUAAACCAUCCUUAUAUAUUUUCUUUUAUACUUAUUGGCAUGCAUGUCUUCUAUCUUCUAUGAUAGGUGAGGUCAUACUUGGCACACACGUAGAUUGUGUCUUAUACUACUUUAAGCAUUUUCUAAGUCAAUUAUUUUGUCCCUUUGUAUAAUCUUCUCUUUACAAGAAUAAGAGUAAGAACACGUGACUUAUAGAAUAAUUUCAAAGAGGCAUCGUGGAGGUUUCAGUCCACUGGCUCAUGACACCUUGCCUCAGUCUCACUAGAAUUAUAUUCAAACUGUUGCCUCACAUUGCUAAAAGGAAAUGGUAGCAUAAAAAGUAGUAAGUAAACAAAACUAAAAUUUAUAUGAAACAGGCUAACAAAUCAGCAUCCCCUCUACCUCUAGUAUCUUCAGCUGCUAGGAAUCUUCACAGCUUUUUGUUGGUCUAUGAACUUGUAAGGAAUCUUCACAUAGAUGUUUAGGCUUUAGGGAUCAGGAUAUUGUUCGUGUAAAUGUCUCUGAAAUCUUGUCAAACUUACUGUAGCAGGCGCCCGUUAUUUCUUUUCAGUUGAUUCUUGACAGUUGCCAUUUGGCCAUGAAUCAUAAUUGCCAAUGUUUCGUACAGAUUUCCAUUAUUUUUUUCAGGUAAGGAAGCUCGUUGCUUGUAUUAUUUGUGAGAUAAUAAGGACUCAAUGUAUUGUUCUGGAUUUCCCGUUCUGCCAAGGAUCCAAACUAGAUGCUAAUUUCAUUUUGAGACGAAUAUAAGUGUCACUUAAAUUAAUAAUUAGAGUCUGUUAAAAAUUAAUUAA